This is a long non-coding RNA of Helianthus annuus (common sunflower), 259 nucleotides long. RefSeq lists it as uncharacterized. The record is from RefSeq and is a predicted model, not a curated record. Lineage: Eukaryota; Viridiplantae; Streptophyta; Magnoliopsida; Asterales; Asteraceae. The transcript has 2 exons.
UGACCAUCUUUAACCAACUUAUAUAAAUUAUUUUUUAAAUUUAACUAAAAAUAUAAGAGCGGUAGGUCCGAAUGUUGGGACCCACUGGAACUUCAGAAGUUAUAACAGAACAUAAACUUAAAACACUGAAAGAAGGUAUAACAAGAAAUUUAAAAAAAAAAAAAGCAAGAACCUCAAAACAUAUGCCUUACAUCUGUGAUUUAAAAACAAUCUACCCAAUUCAGCGAACAAAAACAUUUAAUAUUCAGAACACAGUUAA